Molecule: ribosomal RNA, 253 nt
Filed under: uncultured bacterium
Lineage: Bacteria
Description: partial 16S ribosomal RNA
Rfam family: Bacterial small subunit ribosomal RNA
Source: RNAcentral
UACAGAGGGGGCAAGCGUUGUUCGGAAUUACUGGGCGUAAAGGGCGCGUAGGCGGCCUUCUAAGUCAGACGUGAAAUCCCUCGGCUCAACCGGGGAACUGCGUCUGAGACUGGAAGGCUUGAAUCCGGGAGAGGGAUGCAGAAUUCCAGGUGUAGCGGUGAAAUGCGUAGAUAUCUGGAGGAAUACCGGUGGCGAAGGCGGCAUCCUGGACCGACAUUGACGCUGAACGACGAAAGCUAGGGGAGCAAACGGG